This 821-nucleotide ribosomal RNA is filed under the name Panus ciliatus. RNAcentral's name for it is "partial large subunit ribosomal RNA". It matches the Rfam family "Eukaryotic large subunit ribosomal RNA", at positions 67 to 874 of the family's 3401-position model. The record is from RNAcentral. Lineage: Eukaryota; Fungi; Basidiomycota; Agaricomycetes; Polyporales; Panaceae.
AACAAGGAUUCCCCUAGUAACUGCGAGUGAAGCGGGAAAAGCUCAAAUUUAAAAUCUGGCAGUCUUUGGCUGUCCGAAUUGUAUUCUGGAGAAGCGUUUUCCGCGCUGGACCGUGUACAAGUCUCUUGGAAUAGAGCGUCAUAGAGGGUGAGAAUCCCGUCUUUGACACGGACUACCAGUGCUUUGUGAUGCGCUCUCAAAGAGUCGAGUUGUUUGGGAAUGCAGCUCAAAAUGGGUGGUGAAUUCCAUCUAAAGCUAAAUAUUGGCGAGAGACCGAUAGCGAACAAGUACCGUGAGGGAAAGAUGAAAAGCACUUUGGAAAGAGAGUUAAACAGUACGUGAAAUUGCUGAAAGGGAAACGCUUGAAGUCAGUCGCGUCAUUCAGAACUCAGCCUGGCUUUUGCUUGGUGUAUUUUCUGGUUGACGGGCCAGCAUCAAUUUUGACCGCUGGAAAAAGGCCAUAGGAAUGUGGCACCCUCGGGUGUGUUAUAGCCUAUGGUCAUAUACAGCGGUUGGGAUUGAGGACCGCAGCACGCCUUUAUGGUUGGGGUUCGCCCACAUUCGUGCUUAGGAUGCUGGCGUAAUGGCUUUAAACGACCCGUCUUGAAACACGGACCAAGGAGUCUAACAUGCCUGCGAGUGUUUGGGUGGAAAACCCGAGCGCACAAUGAAAGUGAAAGUUGGGAUCCCUGUCGUGGGGAGCACCGACGCCCGGACCAGACCUUUUGUGACGGAUCCGCGGUAGAGCAUGUAUGUUGGGACCCGAAAGAUGGUGAACUAUGCCUGAAUAGGGUGAAGCCAGAGGAAACUCUGGUGGAGGC